GGCCCCCGCCUGCUUCGGAGGGUCACCUGCUCGCUGGUGGGCAUCUAGGCGGCACACCCAGCUUUCUGUCAGCGGGAGCCGGGGGAGCGAGGUGAGAGAGGCGAGCUCCCGCUCCGGCUCCGCGCUGAUUAAAAUGGGACAUUUCAUUGUAACGUGGAAGGAGAUCGUUUUUUAAGCAAUGGCCUGGGGGGGGGGGGGGGGGGUGCCAGCCGGCUGGAGAUGCAGAGGAACCUGGGAUGCAGUGCAGGGGAUGGGGAAAACGUGACCAGGCUGUGUCCGCUGUCACCAUCACUACAGCCGUCAGCGCUGGCCGGAGCUCCAAGACCAGAUGAAUAAGAACGCCAGUGUUCCCAGUAUGAGUGGCAAUAACACAUGCACCGGGGAAGGAUGUGCGGCGAGGUACAGAGAAAGCGAGAGAGACGCGGACGGAGAGAGGCAGAGCGGAGGGGAAGCGAGAGAGAACAGAGACGCUUGAAAGAGAGACGAGGCCGGGAAGGCGGGCGAGAGAGAGCGCGCUUGCGUGGGUGCGAUGGCGCGCCGCGAGGCAGGGAGAGGGGGAGAGGGGAGUGUGGCUGCCUUUGAUCUGCUGGGUGUCUGCAGAGGCAGGUAUGACAAGUACACUUCCAGCAUGUGGCAAACCAGCAAACACUGCCAUUUAAUUAGCAGGGAAACAGACCCCGGUACGGGCCCGUAGUCCAAAUUAGUGCCUCGUGCUCUUUUGAAGUCUCGCGGAGCGGCUCUCGUGCCUCUUUUUUAUCUGUGCAUCUGCUAAUGACAUGUCAGUUUAACGCCUCAUCGCGGGAGCGCUGGGCUCAGCUUCUAGGAAGACUUCCUGUUGGACUUCAAAGGGUGGAAGGGUUGACUGGGAUCGAGUCCUCUGCAAACUUUAAUGCAGGCCCCCACCAAGGGCUCAGCUUCAUUAGCAGCCCGGCGUCGUAGCCGAAACUCUCAGAUACCGGGUGGAAUUUUAAUUUCGUUAAAUCUUUCAGAUCAUUAAAAGCAAAAAAAAA
Molecule: long non-coding RNA, 1010 nt
Filed under: Lepisosteus oculatus (spotted gar)
Lineage: Eukaryota; Metazoa; Chordata; Actinopteri; Semionotiformes; Lepisosteidae
Description: lncRNA (ENSLOCG00000021716.1)
Source: RNAcentral